Small nucleolar RNA from Sorex araneus (European shrew), 129 nucleotides. The record is from RefSeq and is a predicted model, not a curated record. Lineage: Eukaryota; Metazoa; Chordata; Mammalia; Eulipotyphla; Soricidae.
AUGCAGACUUGAUCAUUAACUGCAUUACGUUGCAGGAGUGAGGGGAACCAGGUUUGCUAAAGUUAACUGCAGUGAUACAGCUGUAUUAACUUCAGAUGCUACUGAAGUUUCUAUCCAUCCUAUGUAGUA